This 25-nucleotide small nuclear RNA is filed under the name Arabidopsis thaliana (thale cress). RNAcentral describes it as "snRNA_10171". Lineage: Eukaryota; Viridiplantae; Streptophyta; Magnoliopsida; Brassicales; Brassicaceae. The record is from RNAcentral.
ACAAAGCAUUGCGAUGGUCCCUGCG